Molecule: ribosomal RNA, 403 nt
Filed under: uncultured bacterium
Lineage: Bacteria
Description: bacterial SSU rRNA
Rfam family: Bacterial small subunit ribosomal RNA
Source: RNAcentral
GCCACGGCUAAACUACGUGCCAGCAGCCGCGGUAAUACGUAGGUGGCAAGCGUUGUCCGGAUUUAUUGGGCGUAAAGGGAGCGCAGGUGGUGGCUUAAGUCUGAUGUGAAAGCCCACGGCUCAACCGUGGAAGGUCAUUGGAAACUGGGUCACUUGAGUGCAGAAGAGGAAAGUGGAAUUCCAUGUGUAGCGGUGAAAUGCGUAGAUAUAUGGAGGAACACCAGUGGCGAAGGCGACUUUCUGGUCUGACACUGACACUGAGGCUCGAAAGCGUGGGGAGCGAACAGGAUUAGAUACCCUGGUAGUCCACGCUGUAAACGAUGAAUGUUAAGUGUUGGGGGGCUUCCACCCCUCAGUGCUGGCGUUAACGCAAUAAACAUUCCGCCUGGGGAGUACGGCCGCA